RNAcentral lists this long non-coding RNA (1444 nucleotides) under Musa acuminata (dwarf banana). Its description in RNAcentral is "long non-coding RNA (MACU_LNC007618)". Lineage: Eukaryota; Viridiplantae; Streptophyta; Magnoliopsida; Zingiberales; Musaceae. The record is from RNAcentral.
UCAUUCAAAUCAUAGGCCCUAAAGGAAAGCAUGCGUUCAAUCAUAGGGCUUGUUAUUAACCAUGUCAAAUUACCCUUACUACUAGCUCAUUUUCAAAUCACACUUAAUACUAGCAAAUUGAGUAUUAGCUACCGUUGGCUCUUUUUCAAAGAUAAUGGUUGUUAGCUAGAUUUCUUUCUACCUUACAUAGAUUUAUUGGAAAAUGGAAAGAUUGGAACAAACAUACUAGUUAUACCUUUCGUCCACGUAUAAAUUGACUAUGCCAUUUGUACGCAUAGAGUCAUAUGUGUUGUUACUCCAUAAUAGAAUAGGGAACAACUAUGGAAAUGUUGGAUAAGGAAAGAAAUGUUGGUGUGUGUUUUGUUCAUCAUUUAUAGAAUAUGUUCCUAAGGGAGAAAUCCACUUACAUGAAUGGAAUUCCUUACAUUAAUAUUGGGGAGAAAUCUAUCAAUCAAGAUUGGGGAGAAAUCUAUCAAUCAAGAUUGGAUUUAUUUAUUGACUUCCCCCAUUCCUUUAUUGAAAACCCGAACCUAUUCUUUGGACUCGGUCAAGAAGUGGUCAACUUCAAACUAUUAGGACUACUAGACUUACCACAAUUCCCCCAUUUACUGGUAUUUCACUCUUUAUUAACUCCCUUACCUAACGAACGCUUAUUUGGUUUGUUCCCUUAACUACUACAGGAUCAGGAUCAGUGCUAGGAAAUGAUGUUUCUGUUCGAAAGUAAGAUGUUUUGUCGACUAGGAGGAACCGACAACAAAGAAAGACAUAUGAAAAUAUAGACUUGUUAAUGACACCGGUGAACAAAGGACUAACACCAACCGAGCACUCCUACUAAUCAGAAUGAAACUAAAGCAAAGGUAGGGGCGAGAUACUUGCUAUAAGAAAAUAAGGUCUCCUAUUCCUAUCGUCCUGUCCUUGCUGUAAGAAAAGAAUGUUGGUAUCCUAUAGUGCUGGGGGCUGUAAGAAAAGAAUGUUGGUGUAUCCUAUCGUGCUUGUGCUAUAAGAAAAAAAGAAUGUUGUGGUAUCCUAUGGAAGUGGGGAACAAUACUAUAGAAACUCCCUACUGACUCGAAAACUCAUGGCUUCAAGACUCGUUGCUCUAAAACUCACAUAUUACAGCUUACUCUAAUGCUCUAUCUGCUGACUCUGCUGAUGCUUGUUCCCUUUAAGAAAGUCAUCCAUGUUAUCUCUCUCGCAAACAGUCAUUUCCACUUCCUUACCUAACGCACAACGGAACGUCGCUUGUUCGGAUGCGCUAAUAGGAAUGUAAGUGAACUGCUCGCAACAAGUCCUGUAGGGGAUGGGGGUGUGUGUUGAGUAUAGAUAUCUCGGUAAUAAGAAGAUGAAUCACUUAGAUGUAAAUGCGAUGCUCGAGAGAGAAGAGAAAAUCCGUUCAAUUGAUCUGCGCUAACUGCACUAACUGUAGUUGUUGACGGGAAGGGAG